UUGCCUUAGUAGCGGCGAGUGAAGCGGCAAAAGCUCAAAUUUGAAAUCUGGCACUUUCAGUGUCCGAGUUGUAAUUUGAAGAAGGUAUCUUUGGGUCUGGCUCUUGUCUAUGUUUCUUGGAACAGAACGUCACAGAGGGUGAGAAUCCCGUGCGAUGAGAUGACCCAGACCUAUGUAAAGUUCCUUCGAAGAGUCGAGUUGUUUGGGAAUGCAGCUCUAAGUGGGUGGUAAAUUCCAUCUAAAGCUAAAUAUUGGCGAGAGACCGAUAGCGAACAAGUACAGUGAUGGAAAGAUGAAAAGAACUUUGAAAAGAGAGUGAAAAAGUACGUGAAAUUGUUGAAAGGGAAGGGCUUGAGAUCAGACUUGGUAUUUUGUAUGUUACUCUCUCGGGGGUGGCCUCUACAGUUUACCGGGCCAGCAUCAGUUUGGGCGGUAGGAGAAUUGCAAAGAAAUGUGGCACUGCCUCGGUAGUGUGUUAUAGUCUUUGUCGAUACUGCCAGCCUAGACUGAGGACUGCGGCUUCGGCCUAGGAUGUUGGCAUAAUGAUCUUAAGUCGCCCGUCUUG
RNAcentral lists this ribosomal RNA (565 nucleotides) under [Candida] sp. RNAcentral's name for it is "LSU rRNA". It matches the Rfam family "Eukaryotic large subunit ribosomal RNA", at positions 75 to 656 of the family's 3401-position model. Lineage: Eukaryota; Fungi; Ascomycota; Saccharomycetes; Saccharomycetales. The record is from RNAcentral.